Molecule: ribosomal RNA, 253 nt
Filed under: uncultured bacterium
Lineage: Bacteria
Description: partial 16S ribosomal RNA
Rfam family: Bacterial small subunit ribosomal RNA
Source: RNAcentral
UACAGAGGGUGCGAGCGUUGUUCGGAAUUAUUGGGCGUAAAGGGCGCGUAGGCGGCCUGUUGCGUCCGCUGUGAAAUCCCGGGGCUCAACCCCGGGCCUGCAGUGGAUACGGGCUGGCUAGAGGCAGGCAGGGGAGAACGGAAUUCCUGGUGUAGCGGUGAAAUGCGCAGAUAUCGGGAAGAACACCCGUGGCGAAGGCGGCUCUCUGGGACGGUACUGACGCUGAGACGCGAAAGCGUGGGGAGCGAACAGG